CUCUGUGUCCUGCAGUGCCCAGGCCUUGGUGCCUUUUUACCUGCCAGCUCCCUUUGCCCCCUGACAUGCUGCCAGGUGGUUGCUUAGCAACCUCUCCAGCCAGCUUGAGCAUCCUGGCAUAAAUUGCUGUUAGGCACCGGGAGAGAGUUUUUUUUCCCUCCUCUCUCUCUUGUGUUUUAAGCAAAGAGACAUCCUAAAAUAGGGCAUUUUUUUUUUCCUGUUCCUUUUUUGUGUGUGUGUGUGACAGACAACUCCUGUGUAAAUGUUGAAAUCUGUGUUGUCUGUCAGGAGCAGUCAAUCUGAAAACUUUGCUGAAGAGAAUGUAUAUUUAGUAACGGGUGACAAAGAGAGGAAGACAUUGAGAUGUCAAUUAUUCUGUCUUCCACACUGUGUCUGGCGCCAUAAAAACUUUGCAGAGGGAUGCGUGAAUGGAGAGAUGGAUGGAUGGAUGUCGGGAAGUGACCUGAGAUCAUCCUGUCCCACCGGAUGUGCCCAAGGGGAUGCCGCUUGGCAGAGCUGGCCUGAGAAACCGCAGUGCUGGGCUUCAGGUCCUGUGGCUUUGCUGGAGGAAGUCAUUGAGAGGACAUGACAGCCGGUUGACCUUCAACCUGAACCAAGGCAACUGGGGGCCCCUGGCCCCCUCCCCUUGGAAUGUCUUUGAAUUGUCUGCUCUGCCCACCCGUUCCACAGUGGCGGCUGGUUUUGAGGAUGCAGCCUUGAGAGAGCAUGAUGUAUGCGACUGAACCCGUUCAGGCCUCUCUGUCAACUUUUGGAGACUGUGCUGGGUGGAAGCAGAGAUCCACCCAUCUUGAAGCAGGAGACAAGCCCCUCUGGGAGCUCUCUACUUACACGGCCUGUCAUCUACCCGUCCGGAGUGGCUGCCUCUUUCUUCCUUCUUUCCCUGCCCUCCAGGCACGAGGGCCAGUUUGAGAACCAACAGGCUUUGCCACUGAAGCUCAGCCUGACAUCUUUUAGCAAAAGACGGAACACAGCAAGUUUGUAUACAAUGCCAUCUCUGAAUAUGGCAAAUACCAACAGAAAGGGAGAAAAACUACAGUGCCUCGGGGGACCUGAAACUCCGCAGUCCCUGCGCUUGAAACGCAUAAUGAUUUUCAGCAGUGAUUCCACGCAUCCUGGUGGGUAAGCGCUGGUUCUCUUUCCUCUGUAUCAGGUUUUGCCAAUGACCAUGUUGGAGCCAGGGACCAGGGGCCAGCCAGGCAGGAGCCGGUGAUAAUGGGGUUGUGUUUAUUGGUUUACCCUCCAGAUAUAUCAUCUGUGCCACUUAACUUGAUGCCACAGACAACACUGCAUUAACCAACUGUUGGGCAAAUUGCUGGUCAUUCGGUUUGUUGGAAAAGAGCACUGUGCCAGGAGCCCUAACACCUGCCCUCUAGAAUUUGCUCUGCCAUUAAAUGACUCUGGGAAAGUCAUUCACUUUUAGGGUCUCUUCCUCUGGAAGCCAAGGGAGCUGGUAGCCAAGUGUUUCAUCCUCUAUGUUUCAUGGACCUGCUGGGAUUGGGAAACAUAUUUUUGGAGUUGUUGGGUGUUCUGUGAGAAUUUUCAAAUUCUGUGUUUUUAUUUAGAUGAAGGUUGAUGAAAAGCUGAAAGUGAUUCCUCAGCCGUGUAUAUGAAUAAUUCAGAGCCAAUAUCUUCUUAUAAUUUGCCCAGCAUUUGCUUUUGUAUUAACUAUCUCAAGUGAAAGCCUUCGGUAUCAAAGUUUGGCUUCCCUUGUCCCAUUUUUCUUAGCAGUGCGUUUCAGAUUUCAGGUUUGAUAAUCACUGGACUGGAUACACAUCGCUUGCUAAGAUUUGGUGAUUUAUUUUUUUGAAAUAACUGGGAGAGGUUGGUUCCACUUAUUCCCUUAUAUUUAAUUCACUCGUAUGUUUGUCACAUGUUGUCUUGUGUGCCCAUGGUGAACCAGAGACACUACUCUUCCAGCCACUGAGGUUAGUCUCCAUGUGUUUCUGGAAUGUCACAGCUGGCCGGGGAUGCACCCAAGGAGUUCCUAGACGUGGGACUAUAAAUUGAAACUGUCUUUAGGCAACCAUACAGUAAAUCCGUCUGGAUAGUUAGUGUCACAUAAACUCUGACCCACGGAUUCGGAAGCAGCGGAGAUCCGUCUGGGUCUGGGUGAUGGAAGGAUU
RNAcentral lists this long non-coding RNA (2144 nucleotides) under Sus scrofa (pig). Its description in RNAcentral is "lncRNA (ENSSSCG00060040582.1)". The record is from RNAcentral. Lineage: Eukaryota; Metazoa; Chordata; Mammalia; Artiodactyla; Suidae.